Molecule: ribosomal RNA, 460 nt
Filed under: uncultured bacterium
Lineage: Bacteria
Description: partial 16S ribosomal RNA
Rfam family: Bacterial small subunit ribosomal RNA
Source: RNAcentral
CCUACGGGAGGCAGCAGUGAGGAAUAUUGGUCAAUGGACGCAAGUCUGAACCAGCCAUGCCGCGUGCAGGAAGACGGCCCUAUGAGUUGUAAACUGCUUUUGUACGAGGGAAAACGCGGAUACGCGUAUCUGUCUGAAAGUAUCGUACGAAUACGGAUCGGCUAACUCCGUGCCAGCAGCCGCGGUAAUACGGAGGAUUCCAGCGUUAUCCGGUUUUAUUGGGUUUAAAGGGUGCGGAGGCGGGCUGAUAAGUUAGAGGUGAAAUCCCGGGGCUCAACCUCGGAAUUGCCUCUGAUACAGUUCGGCUAGAGAGUAGUAGCGGUAGGCGGAAUGUCUGGUGUAGCGGUGAAAUGCUUAGAGAUCAUACAGAACACCGAUUGCGAAGGCAGCUUACCAAGCUACUUCUGACGUUGAGGCACGAAAGCGUGGGGAGCAAACAGGAUUAGAUACCCUAGUAGUC